RNAcentral lists this ribosomal RNA (496 nucleotides) under uncultured bacterium. RNAcentral describes it as "partial 16S ribosomal RNA". It matches the Rfam family "Bacterial small subunit ribosomal RNA", at positions 28 to 506 of the family's 1533-position model. The record is from RNAcentral.
GAUGAACGCUGGCGGCGUGCCUAAUACAUGCAAGUCGAGCGAACGGACGAGAAGCUUGCUUCUCUGAUGUUAGCGGCGGACGGGUGAGUAACACGUGGAUAACCUACCUAUAAGACUGGGAUAACUUCGGGAAACCGGAGCUAAUACCGGAUAAUAUUUUGAACCGCAUGGUUCAAAAGUGAAAGACGGUCUUGCUGUCACUUAUAGAUGGAUCCGCGCUGCAUUAGCUAGUUGGUAAGGUAACGGCUUACCAAGGCAACGAUGCAUAGCCGACCUGAGAGGGGGAUGGGCACCACGGAAGGUGAGCCAGUGUCCAGACACCAACGGGAGGCAGCAGCAGGUAGUGUUCGGCAAUGGGCGAAAGACUGAAGAAGCAACUCAGGGGGAGUGAAGAAGGUCUGCGGAUCGUAAAACGCUGUUAUUGGGAAAGAACAAAAGUGUAAGUAACUGUGCACAUCUUGACGGUACCUAAUCAAAAAGCCACGGCUAACUACGG